This 25-nucleotide non-coding RNA is filed under the name Cricetulus griseus (Chinese hamster). Lineage: Eukaryota; Metazoa; Chordata; Mammalia; Rodentia; Cricetidae. The record is from RNAcentral.
CAGACUGGCCACAAUCCCCGCUCGC